GUGUCAGCCGCCGCGGUAAUACCCGCGGCCCGAGUGGUGGUCGAUAUUAUUGAGCCUAAAACGUCCGUAGCCGGUCUUGUAAAUCCUUGGGUAAAUCGGCCAGCUUAACUGUCCGAAGUCCGGGGAGACUGCAAGACUUGGGAUCGGGAGAGGUCAGAGGUACUUCUGGGGUAGGGGUAAAAUCCUGUAAUCCUGGAAGGACCACCGGUGGCGAAGGCGUCUGACUAGAACGAAUUCGACGGUGAGGGACGAAGCCCUGGGGCGCAAACGGGAUUAGAUACCCCGGUAGUCCAGGGUGUAAACGCUGCGGGCUUGGUGUUGGGGGUCCUUUGUGGGCGCCCAGUGCCGGAGAGAAGUUGUUAAGCCUGCUGCUUGGGGAGUACGUCCGCAAGGAUGAAACUUAAAUGAAUUGACGGGG
Molecule: ribosomal RNA, 418 nt
Filed under: uncultured prokaryote
Description: bacterial SSU rRNA
Rfam family: Archaeal small subunit ribosomal RNA
Source: RNAcentral